UACGUAGGGGGCAAGCGUUGUCCGGAUUUAUUGGGCGUAAAGAGCUCGUAGGCGGUCUGUCACGUCGGCUGUGAAAACCCGAGGCUCAACCUCGGGCCUGCAGUCGAUACGGGCAGACUAGAGUUCGGUAGGGGAGACUGGAAUUCCUGGUGUAGCGGUGAAAUGCGCAGAUAUCAGGAGGAACACCGGUGGCGAAGGCGGGUCUCUGGGCCGAAACUGACGCUGAGGAGCGAAAGCGUGGGGAGCGAACAGG
RNAcentral lists this ribosomal RNA (253 nucleotides) under uncultured bacterium. Its description in RNAcentral is "partial 16S ribosomal RNA". It matches the Rfam family "Bacterial small subunit ribosomal RNA", at positions 524 to 776 of the family's 1533-position model. The record is from RNAcentral.